RNAcentral lists this ribosomal RNA (440 nucleotides) under uncultured bacterium. Its description in RNAcentral is "partial 16S ribosomal RNA". It matches the Rfam family "Bacterial small subunit ribosomal RNA", at positions 338 to 795 of the family's 1533-position model. The record is from RNAcentral.
CCUACGGGAGGCAGCAGUGGGGAAUAUUGCGCAAUGGGGGAAACCCUGACGCAGCAACGCCGCGUGAGUGAGGAAGUAUCUCGGUAUGUAAAGCUCUAUCAGCGGGGAAGAAGGAAGACGGUACCCGACUAAGAAGCCCCGGCUAACUACGUGCCAGCAGCCGCGGUAAUACGUAGGGGGCGAGCGUUAUCCGGUUUACUGGGGGUUAAGGGGGCGUAGACGGUGUUGCCAGUCUGAAGGGAAAGCCCGUGGCUCAACCGCGGAACCGCUUUGGAAACUGGGAGGCUGGAGUGCUGGAGAGGUAAGCGGAAUGCCUGGUGUAGCGGUGAAAUGCGGAGAUAUCAGGAGGAACACCGGUGGCGAAGGCGGCUUACUGGACAGUGACUGACGUUGAGGCUCGAAAGCGUGGGGAGCGAACAGGAUUAGAUACCCUAGUAGUC